GAUGAAGAACGCAGCGAAAAGCGAUAAGUAAUGUGAAUUGCAGAAUUCAGUGAAUCAUCGAAUCUUUGAACGCACAUUGCGCCCGCUAGUAUUCUGGCGGGCAUGCCUGUUCGAGCGUCAUUUCAACCAUCAAGCCCUGUUUAGGCUUGUGUUGGGGCCCUGCGGCUGCCGCAGCCCCCUAAAUGCAGUGGCGGGCUCGUUGUCACUCCGAGCGCAGUAGCGUAUCUCGCUCUGGGCGUGGCGGCGGGUGCUAGCCGUGAAACACCCACUAAGGUUGACCUCGGAUCAGGUAGGAAUACCCGCUGAACUUAAGCAUAUCAAUAAGCGGAGGA
This 332-nucleotide unclassified non-coding RNA is filed under the name soil metagenome. RNAcentral describes it as "partial contains 5.8S ribosomal RNA, internal transcribed spacer 2, and large subunit ribosomal RNA". The stretch from base 1 to 120 matches the Rfam family "5.8S ribosomal RNA", at positions 35 to 154 of the family's 154-position model. The record is from RNAcentral.